Macaca mulatta (Rhesus monkey) is the source of this 2198-nucleotide long non-coding RNA. The record is from Ensembl. NCBI's taxonomy places the organism in Eukaryota, Metazoa, Chordata, Mammalia, Primates, Cercopithecidae.
AUCUUCUGUCGUGUAGGAGGAAGCCCCGAGCCACGGAAAUUCGGUAAGGAUCGGAUAAUGGCAAUGAAAUCACAGCUCUAAAUCUUUUCAUGGAGUUGAAGACAGACAUUUUACUGUGGGAGCCAUCUCAUCUUUAUCUGUCUGAGUCGAAGCUGGUAAAGAGGCCAAGAAUUCCCAAGCUUUCCCAGGCAAGUGGGGAAGAACACUGGGAUGCCUUUUCCUCCUCCUCUGUCCAUCUGCAGGCCAAGUGUGCAUCCGUCACAGGCAAACUCUGAAUCGAGCUUUGUGCCAGUCUCUGGAAAGAGACCCAAGAUCGUGUGAGGAGCAAAAGUGACAGUGCUGGUGGCAGCGACAUCUGCAGAGCCAGCCCCAUCCCUGUCUGCAGCAGAAUACGUAUGGGAAUCCUUUGUGCGAACAAUCCACCCAGGGUAGAAUGGGGCUUUUGACAUCAGCUGAGACCCAGGCUGCCUUACAAUGAGAGGCCUGUUGGUCAAAGGAAGGACUAUUUAAUGAACUGAGAAUCUGAGGCCAGCUCUGGCCAUCUGCACUUAGAAUCAUUAGAGCAACUCUACUGUAACUGGCAACAUUGAAUAAUGCAACAAAUUCAUAUUUCAAAAUUGUGAACUUUAAAAUUUUGUGCUUGUGUCUAUGAUGAAAAGCAUUAUAUAAACAUUUGAUACUACCAUUUUAUUAGUAAGGAAGCCUGAAAAAGUGUCUCUCUUUUGACUCUGAGGUCAAUAAUGAUAAUGGUUUUUCACCUACACUGGGAUAGAAAUGUUCUGUCAAGGAUAUGAAAGCACUUUAUGAGGGUGAAAUUCAUUAAAGCCCUUAAUAAUCAGGUAGGGAAGACAGGUGCUCACAAUUGUCACCACUUGAUGAGUGAACACACCGAGGCUCGGGGAGGACAAUGACUCAGGAACAAGGUCGAAUCGCAGGUGGGGGGUGAAGCUGAUCCCUAACAGCAUCCUCCAGCCCCCAGCGCUGAGGAAGGACAUGGAGGGCUUGCAUCGACUUUUCCUGGCAGGCUUGUGAUUCCCAGCCAGAAUGCAGGUGGCAAUGUUAUGAUUCCUGGCAUAACCUUCAAUGCUUCAAUGAUAAUCUUUGCCAGUGCCAGGCACCAGCUGAGUGUCACUGUGCAACUCCCAGGCUUAAGUGAUGCAUGCCGAGGUUUUCAGAGCAGUCUCUCAUUUAUUAGUUGUGUUGGAAAGAAAUCUCUACUACCUAAGUGGGUACCUCUGGAUUUUAACAGCUGUGGUUUAUAAGAGAUUUGAGAGGGGGUUUGUUUUCAAAGUGCCUUUCACAAAGUAACACCUUGGAUUGUAGUUUACAUUCCAUUCCAGUAGGAUAACUUGCAACACUUCUGUGCUCAGAAAUCCAACUGUGCAAGAAAAGUCAGGUUAUAUUUUCAUACAGCCCAUUUUGGCAAAUAUGCCUUCACACCACUUUCCCUCCUCCUCACCGCUAUUGGCAAUAGUCCCAAUGGAAGAGUUUUAUGUCAAAUGUUGAGUAUCUUGGAAGCUGUCCUGCACAGACACGACUGCUUGGCUGCGUGUUGGAGAGUCGUGGUUGGACUGGGAGACCAGGAAGGUCCCUUCUAGCCUGAGAUGUUAUGACUCUAGAACUAAUUAGUUUCAACUCAUAACAUGAAAUGCUACUAGCUACCAUUUGGUAGGCUUUUUCUGUGUUCCAGGCUCUGUGCUAAGAUCUUAACAUUACUCUAAUUACAAAAUCCCUGCCAAUAUUAACCUCGUUUUACACAAGAACAAAGGGGUUUAGGGAAAUCAAAAACUUGUCCAAUGACACAGAUUUAAGAUUUAGCAACUGAUGGCCACAUGGAAAUGGAUUACAGAUUAUUCUAAUUUGACGCUCUAAACCCGCAAUUUAACCAGAAUGAAAUUUAGGGCUGCGUGCUGUGGCUCAUGCCUGUAAUCCUAACACUUUGGGAAGCCAGGUGUAUCCCUUAAGCCCAGGAGCUUGCGAGCAACUUGGGCAACAUGGUGAAACCUGUAUCUACACAAAACACAAAAAUUAGACAGGUGUGGUGGUGUAUGCCUGUAGUUCCAGCUACUCGGAAGGCUGAGAGAAGGGAGGAUCGCUUGAGCCUAGGAGGUUGAGGCUGCUGCGAGCUGUGAUGGUGCCACUGCACUCCAGCCUGGGCAACAGAGGCAGACCCCGUCUCAAAAAAAAAAAAAAAAAAA